GUACACUCCUGCGGGAGGCAGCAGUGGGGAAUAUUGGACAAUGGGCGCAAGCCUGAUCCAGCCAUGCCGCGUGAGUGAUGAAGGCCCUAGGGUUGUAAAGCUCUUUCACCGGUGAAGAUAAUGACGGUAACCGGAGAAGAAGCCCCGGCUAACUUCGUGCCAGCAGCCGCGGUAAUACGAAGGGGGCUAGCGUUGUUCGGAUUUACUGGGCGUAAAGCGCACGUAGGCGGACUAUUAAGUCAGGGGUGAAAUCCCGGGGCUCAACCCCGGAACUGCCUUUGAUACUGGUAGUCUUGAGUUCGAGAGAGUUGAGUGGAAUUCCGAGUGUAGAGGUGAAAUUCGUAGAUAUUCGGAGGAACACCAGUGGCGAAGGCGGCUCACUGGCUCGAUACUGACGCUGAGGUGCGAAAGCGUGGGGAGCAAACAGGAUUAGAAACCCUAGUAGUCCCAUGA
Molecule: ribosomal RNA, 453 nt
Filed under: uncultured organism
Description: partial 16S ribosomal RNA
Rfam family: Bacterial small subunit ribosomal RNA
Source: RNAcentral